GAUGAACGCUGGCGGCGUGCCUAAUACAUGCAAGUCGAGCGAACGGACGAGAAGCUUGCUUCUCUGAUGUUAGCGGCGGACGGGUGAGUAACACGUGGAUAACCUAUCUAUAAGACUGGGAUAACCUCGGGAAACCGGAGCUAAUACCGGAUGAUAUUUUGAACCGCAUGGUUCAAAAGUGAAAGACGGUCUUGCUGUCACUUAUAGAUGGAUCCGCGCUGCAUUAGCUAGUUGGUAAGGUAACGGCUUACCAAGGCAACGAUGCAUAGCCGACCUGAGAGGGUGAUCGGCCACACUGGAACUGAGACACGGUCCAGACUCCUACGGGAGGCAGCAGUAGGGAAUCUUCCGCAAUGGGCGAAAGCCUGACGGAGCAACGCCGCGUGAGUGAUGAAGGUCUUCGGAUCGUAAAACUCUGUUAUUAGGGAAGAACAUAUGUGUAAGUAACUGUGCACAUCUUGACGGUACCUAAUCAGAAAGCCACGGCUAACUACGUG
Molecule: ribosomal RNA, 497 nt
Filed under: uncultured bacterium
Lineage: Bacteria
Description: partial 16S ribosomal RNA
Rfam family: Bacterial small subunit ribosomal RNA
Source: RNAcentral